Molecule: transfer RNA, 64 nt
Filed under: Acraea rogersi
Lineage: Eukaryota; Metazoa; Arthropoda; Insecta; Lepidoptera; Nymphalidae
Description: tRNA-Cys
Source: RNAcentral
AGUCUUGUAUUCAAAAUGAUAUAAAAUUGCAAAUUUUAAGGUAUAAAAUUAAUUAUUAAGGCUU